UCGGAACGUGCCCAAUCGUGGGGGAGUAACGUAGCGAAAGCUACGCUAAUACCGCAUACGACCUACGGAUGAAAGCAGGGGACUCGCAAGAGCCUUGCGCGAAUGGAGCGGCCGAUGGCAGAUUAGGUAGUUGGUGGGGUAAAGGCUCACCAAGCCUUCGAUCUGUAGCUGGUCUGAGAGGACGACCAGCCACACUGGGACUGAGACACGGCCCAG
RNAcentral lists this ribosomal RNA (216 nucleotides) under uncultured bacterium. RNAcentral's name for it is "partial 16S ribosomal RNA". It matches the Rfam family "Bacterial small subunit ribosomal RNA", at positions 118 to 334 of the family's 1533-position model. The record is from RNAcentral.